Molecule: ribosomal RNA, 501 nt
Filed under: uncultured bacterium
Lineage: Bacteria
Description: partial 16S ribosomal RNA
Rfam family: Bacterial small subunit ribosomal RNA
Source: RNAcentral
GACGAACGCUGGCGGCGUGCCUAAUACAUGCAAGUCGAACGAACCGCGACUAGGUGCUUGCACUUGGUCAAGGUGAGUGGCGAACGGGUGAGUAACACGUGGGUAACCUACCUCAUAGUGGGGGAUAACAGUCGGAAACGACUGCUAAUACCGCAUAGGACAUAGGAUCACAUGAUCCAGUGAGGAAAGGUGGCGCAAGCUAUCGCUAAGAGAUGGACCCGCGGUGCAUUAGCUAGUUGGUAGGGUAAAGGCCUACCAAGGCGAUGAUGCAUAGCCGACCUGAGAGGGUGAUCGGCCACAUGGGGACUGAGACACGGCCCAAACUCCUACGGGAGGCAGCAGUGGGGAAUCUUCCGCAAUGGACGCAAGUCUGACGGAGCAACGCCGCGUGAGUGAAGAAGGUCUUCGGAUCGUAAAGCUCUGUUGUUAGAGAAGAACAGCGCAUAGAGUAACUGUUAUGCGUGUGACGGUAUCUAACCAGAAAGCCACGGCUAACUACGU